UGCACGUCUAAGUACACGCCGCAAACAAUGGCGAAACCGCGAAUGGCUCAUUAAAUCAGUUAUGGUUCCUUGGUAUGAAGCCCUGUUACUUGGAUAACUGUGGCAAUUCUAGAGCUAAUACAUGCAAUGAAACUCGGCCCUUCGGGGAAGAGUGCUUUUAUUAGACCAACCAAUGCGGGCCUCGCGCCCGGACGUUGGUGGUGACUCUGGAUAACUUUCUGACGAUCGCACGGGUCCAUCCCGGCGACGCAUCUUUCAAGUGUCUGCCUUAUCAACUUUCGAUGGUAGGCCACGAGCCUACCAUGGUUGUAACGGGUGACGGGGAAUCAGGGUUCGAUUCCGGAGAGGGAGCCUGAGAAACGGCUACCACAUCCAAGGAAGGCAGCAGGCACGCAAAUUACCCACUCCCGGCCCGGGGAGGUAGUGACGAAAAAUAACGAUACGGGACUCUAUUGAGACCCCGUAAUCGGAAUGAGAACGUUCCAAACACCCUAUCAAAUGCAAUCGGAGGGUAAGCCAGGUGCCAGCAUCCGCGGUAACACCUGUUCCGAUAGCGUAUAUUACAGUUGCUGCGGUUAAAAAGCUCGUAGUUGGAUCUCAGUUACAGACGUGUGGUCCGCCUAAACGGCGGUAACUACACGUGCUGUAUCAGCCAGCCGGUUUCUCUCGAUGAUCUUCACCGGUUGUCUUGAGUGACCGGCAACAUUACUUUGAAUAAAUCAAAGUGCUCAACGCAGGCUACACGCCUAUAUAAUGGUGCAUGGAAUAAUGGAAUAGGACCUCGGUUCUGUUCUGUUGGUCUACCGAACACGAGGUAAUGAUUAAGAGGAACUGACGGGGGCAUUCGUACUGCGGCGCUAGAGGUGAAAUUCUUGGACCGCCGCAAGACGAACUACAGCGAAAGCAUUUGCCAAGAAUGUUUCCAUUAAUCAAGAACGAAAGUCAGAGGCUCGAAGGCGAUCAGAUACCGCCCUAGUUCUGACCGUAAACGAUGCCAGCCAGCGAUCCGGCUGUGUUCCUAAAAUGACACGCCGGGCAGCCUCCGGGAAACCAAAGCCUUUGGGUUCCGGGGGAAGUAUGGUUGCAAAGCUGAAACUUAAAGGAAUUGACGGAAAAGCACCACCAUGAGAUGGGUUCUGCGGCUCAAUUUGACUCAACACGGGAUAUUUCACCCAGCCCGGACACAGGAAGGAUUGACAGACUAAGAGACCUUUCUCGAUUCUGUGGGUAGUGGUGCACGGCCGUUUGUAGUUGGUGGAGUGAUUUGUCUGGUUAAUUCCGUUAACGAGCGAGACUCCAGCCUGUUAAAUAGGAGACCCGAUCGUCUGAAGUCGGGCUUUCUUCUUAGAGGGACAAGCGGCGUUUAGCCGCACGAAAUGGUGCAAAAACAGGUCUGUAUGCCCUUAGAUGUCCGGGGCUGCACGCGCGACACAAUGAAGGAAGCAGCGUGUGCUCUCCCUGUCCGGCAGGACCGGGUAACCAUCUCAAACUCCUUCGUGCUUGGGAUAGGGGAUUGUAACUAUUCCCCUUGAACGAGGAAUCUCUAGUAAGCGCGGAUCAUUAAUCCGUGCUGAAUAUGUCCCUGCUUUUUGUGCACACCGCCCGUCGCUACUACUGAUUGAGCGUCGUAGUGAGGUCUUCGGACCGGUGGUCGGAGCGGUCUUCGGAUCGCGCCGGCGCGCCGGAAAGACGAUCGAACUUGGCCGCUUAGAAGAAGUAAA
Molecule: ribosomal RNA, 1721 nt
Filed under: Titanoeca sp. CG64
Lineage: Eukaryota; Metazoa; Arthropoda; Arachnida; Araneae; Titanoecidae
Description: SSU rRNA
Rfam family: Eukaryotic small subunit ribosomal RNA
Source: RNAcentral